GACAGAUCGGGAGCUUGCUCCCUGAUGUUAGCGGCGGACGGGUGAGUAACACGUGGGUAACCUGCCUGUAAGACUGGGAUAACUCCGGGAAACCGGGGCUAAUACCGGAUGGUUGACUGAACCGCAUGGUUCAGACAUAAAAGGUGGCUUCGGCUACCACUUACAGAUGGACCCGCGGCGCAUUAGCUAGUUGGUGAGGUAACGGCUCACCAAGGCGACGAUGCGUAGCCGACCUGAGAGGGUGAUCGGCCACACUGGGACUGAGACACGGCCCAGACUCCUACGGGAGGCAGCAGUAGGGAAUCUUCCGCAAUGGACGAAAGUCUGACGGAGCAACGCCGCGUGAGUGAUGAAGGUUUUCGGAUCGUAAAGCUCUGUUGUUAGGGAAGAACAAGUGCCGUUCAAAUAGGGCGGCACCUUGACGGUACCUAACCAGAAAGCCACGGCUAACUACGUGCCAGCAGCCGCGGUAAUACGUAGGUGGCAAGCGUUGUCCGGAAUUAUUGGGCGUAAAGGGCUCGCAGGCGGUUUCUUAAGUCUGAUGUGAAAGCCCCCGGCUCAACCGGGGAGGGUCAUUGGAAACUGGGGAACUUGAGUGCAGAAAGAGGAUAGUGGAAUUCCACGUGUAGCGGUGAAAUGCGUAGAGAUGUGGAAGAACACCAGUGGCGAAGGCGACUCUCUGGUCUGUAACUGACGCUGAGGAGCGAAAGCGAGGAGAGA
RNAcentral lists this ribosomal RNA (720 nucleotides) under Bacillus subtilis. Its description in RNAcentral is "bacterial SSU rRNA". It matches the Rfam family "Bacterial small subunit ribosomal RNA", at positions 68 to 769 of the family's 1533-position model. The record is from RNAcentral. Lineage: Bacteria; Bacillati; Bacillota; Bacilli; Caryophanales; Bacillaceae.